RNAcentral lists this ribosomal RNA (497 nucleotides) under uncultured bacterium. RNAcentral's name for it is "partial 16S ribosomal RNA". It matches the Rfam family "Bacterial small subunit ribosomal RNA", at positions 28 to 507 of the family's 1533-position model. The record is from RNAcentral.
GAUGAACGCUGGCGGCGUGCCUAAUACAUGCAAGUCGAGCGAACGGACGAGAAGCUUGCUUCUCUGAUGUUAGCGGCGGACGGGUGAGUAACACGUGGAUAACCUACCUAUAAGACUGGGAUAACUUCGGGAAACCGGAGCUAAUACCGGAUAAUAUUUUGAACCGCAUGGUUCAAAAGUGAAAGACGGUCUUGCUGUCACUUAUAGAUGGAUCCGCGCUGCAUUAGCUAGUUGGUAAGGUAACGGCUUACCAAGGCAACGAUGCAUAGCCGACCUGAGAGGGUGAUCGGCCACACUGGAACUGAGACACGGUCCAGACUCCUACGGGAGGCAGCAGUAGGGAAUCUGCCGCAAUGGGCGAAAGCCUGACGGAGCAACGCCGCGUGAGUGAUGAAGGUCUUCGGAUCGUAAAACUCUGUUAUUAGGGAAGAACAUAUGUGGAAGUAACUGUGCACAUCUUGACGGUACCUAAUCAGAAAGCCACGGCUAACUACGUG